RNAcentral lists this ribosomal RNA (184 nucleotides) under uncultured Bacteroidota bacterium. RNAcentral describes it as "uncultured Bacteroidetes bacterium partial 16S ribosomal RNA". It matches the Rfam family "Bacterial small subunit ribosomal RNA", at positions 121 to 306 of the family's 1533-position model. Lineage: Bacteria; Pseudomonadati; Bacteroidota. The record is from RNAcentral.
GUAACCUACCUAUAACAGGGGCAUAACACUGAGAAAUUGGUACUAAUUCCCCAUAAUAUUCGGAGAGGCAUCUCUCCGGGUUGAAGACUCCGGUGGUUAUAGAUGGACAUGCGUUGUAUUAGCUAGUUGGUGAGGUAACGGCUCACCAAGGCAACGAUACAUAGGGGGACUGAGAGGUUAACCC